RNAcentral lists this ribosomal RNA (467 nucleotides) under uncultured bacterium. Its description in RNAcentral is "partial 16S ribosomal RNA". It matches the Rfam family "Bacterial small subunit ribosomal RNA", at positions 29 to 507 of the family's 1533-position model. The record is from RNAcentral.
ACGAACGCUGGCGGCGUGCUUAACCCCUGCAAGUCGAACGGACAGGCCCUGCUGUUGUGGGGUGCUCGAGUGGCGAACGGGUGAGUAACACGUGAGUAACCUUCCCUUACCUUUGGGAUAACUUCAGGAAACUGGGGCUAAUACCGGAUAGGAGCUCCUGCUGCAUGGUGGGGGUUGGAAAGUUUCGGCGGUUGGGGAUGGACUCGCGGCCUAUCAGCUUGUUGGUGGGGUAGUGGCUUACCAAGGCUUUGACGGGUAGCCGGCCUGAGAGGGUGACCGGCCACAUUGGGACUGAGAUACGGCCCAGACUCCUACGGGAGGCAGCAGUGGGGAAUAUUGCACAAUGGGCGGAAGCCUGAUGCAGCAACGCCGCGUGCGGGAUGACGGCCUUCGGGUUGUAAACCGCUUUCGCCUGUGACGAAGCGUGAGUGACGGUAAUGUGUAAAGAAGCACCGGCUAACUACGUG